This 81-nucleotide small RNA is filed under the name Escherichia coli. RNAcentral's name for it is "partial RtT sRNA". It matches the Rfam family "RtT RNA", at positions 50 to 130 of the family's 130-position model. From Rfam's summary of the family: This family represents a bacterial cis-regulatory element known as RtT RNA. The exact function of RtT is unknown although it is thought that it may be involved in changing the cellular response in relation to amino acid starvation. Lineage: Bacteria; Pseudomonadati; Pseudomonadota; Gammaproteobacteria; Enterobacterales; Enterobacteriaceae. RNAcentral also lists the same sequence under 1 other name. The record is from RNAcentral.
GAGCGAAGCGAGAGAACGUUGCGCCAGCAACGGCCCGCAGGGCGAGCCACGAAGUGGCGAGUAAUCCUCUAUCACCGACCA